GACAUCUCCACCUGGACCCCUCUGCACGGCGCCUGACCCAGAGCACCAGAGCCGGACCCUGGGACUUGCCCUGCUCUUCUCUCUCUCUCUCUCUGCCUGUCUCUCUCUCUUUCUCUGUCUCUCUCUCUCUCUGCCCCACAUUCACCCAAUCACCAGAUCCUAGGGAGUCCACCCUCCUAGACUCUGUUGUGUCUUCCGUCCCACAUCUUCACCGACUCCCGCCAGGUUCCGGUUGUGCUGCCACUGCCGCGUCACCAGCCGUCCUGCCUCUCUGGUCCCUCCUCACCCAAACUCUGCUGGAAGGUGCUGUUCAACAUGACCAAGAUGCCAUCGCAGAAGAACUCUUGUCACAGUGGAUUCCUACCCAAAUUUACCGCCAGGAAAAAGUUAUUGGUUUUCGGGGUUUUUUUUGGUCUUGAGGGGAAGUUCUGAGGCGGCUGCUUGCUGCUGGCGGGAAGAAGAAAGCAGAGGACCUGCUGGAAUUGGGUUACGCAUGCGGCUGUCUCCCUGCACGCGGCAGCCGCACGCGCGGCGUCCGUGGACCCUGUAGCUCCCUUGGUGUCUUGGGAGGAACUUGUGGCGUUUUGCACCCACACCAGCCCUGCUCCCUGGAAGAGGAGGCGGAGCUGUGCUGGAGACAUCUGUCACCCUCUGGCUUCCCAGAAAACCGAACAGCACAGGCCGUUUCCCGUGGGUCUGAGUGAAAUUGUCACUGUGGCUGCUUCCUCGCAUCCCCCUUUUAUCAGCGUCUUUGUAGCUUUAUCCCUCGUUUCUCUCUGUGAUUUCUGGACGAGGUGCCACUCAGCUGGUUGUAUGCUAAAGCUGCUUCCAACCCUUCCCCUUAGAGCUGUUAUGACGGGAUUAAGGGCUUUCUCUCCUUUCACACAAUCAUUCAUUAAAA
Molecule: long non-coding RNA, 901 nt
Filed under: Equus caballus (horse)
Lineage: Eukaryota; Metazoa; Chordata; Mammalia; Perissodactyla; Equidae
Description: lncRNA (ENSECAG00000055968.1)
Source: RNAcentral